GACGAACGCUGGCGGCGUGCCUAAUACAUGCAAGUCGAACGCACUCUCGUUUAGAUUGAAGGAGUUUGCUCCUGAUUGAUAAACAUUUGAGUGAGUGGCGGACGGGUGAGUAACACGUGGGUAACCUGCCCUAAAGUGGGGGAUAACAUUUGGAAACAGAUGCUAAUACCGCAUAAAACCUAACACCGCAUGGUGUAGGGUUGAAAGAUGGUUUCGGCUAUCACUUUAGGAUGGACCCGCGGUGCAUUAGUUAGUUGGUGAGGUAAAGGCUCACCAAGACCGUGAUGCAUAGCCGGCCUGAGAGGGUAAUCGGCCACACUGGGACUGAGACACGGCCCAGACUCCUACGGGAGGCAGCAGUAGGGAAUCUUCCACAAUGGACGAAAGUCUGAUGGAGCAACGCCGCGUGAGUGAAGAAGGUUUUCGGAUCGUAAAACUCUGUUGUUGGAGAAGAAUGUAUCUGAUAGUAACUGAUCAGGUAGUGACGGUAUCCAACCAGAAAGCCACGGCUAACUACGUG
Molecule: ribosomal RNA, 520 nt
Filed under: uncultured bacterium
Lineage: Bacteria
Description: partial 16S ribosomal RNA
Rfam family: Bacterial small subunit ribosomal RNA
Source: RNAcentral